GUGCCAGCCGCCGCGGUAAUACGUAGGUGGCGAGCGUUGUCCGGAAUUACUGGGUGUAAAGGGCGUGUAGGCGGGGUGCCAAGUCAGGUGUGAAAUUCCGAGGCUUAACUUCGGGUGUGCAUCUGAAACUGGUGCUCUUGAGUGUCGGAGAGGAAAGUGGAAUUCCCAGUGUAGCGGUGAAAUGCGUAGAGAUUGGGAGGAACACCAGUGGCGAAGGCGGCUUUCUGGACGACAACUGACGCUGAGGCGCGAAAGCGUGGGGAGCAAACAGGAUUAGAUACCCUGGUAGUCCACGCCGUAAACGAUGGAUACUAGGUGUAGGAGGUAUCGACCCCUUCUGUGCCGGAGUUAACACAAUAAGUAUCCCACCUGGGGAGUACGGCCGCAAGGCUGAAACUCAAAUAAAUUGACGG
Molecule: ribosomal RNA, 413 nt
Filed under: uncultured bacterium
Lineage: Bacteria
Description: bacterial SSU rRNA
Rfam family: Bacterial small subunit ribosomal RNA
Source: RNAcentral